AGAAUCUCCUGCACUACAGAGCAGGUUUAUUAUACCCAGUGUAUAUUUCUGUUGUUCAGAUUAGUUUACGCUAACAUUGGUGAUCAGGAUAUUCUGUCAUAUGAAGCUGAUAUGAGUUGAUAAAACUCACUCAGUUAACUCGGGUUUCCCUCCCUGCACCUCCACAUGUGCUGUUUUCAUACAGUUAUGGAUAAACACUUCACGCAAGUCGAGCUGCACGAGAUUCACAGAAUUUACAGAAAAUGUUACAUUUUUGUGAUUUAUAUCGUUAUCGGACGAUAAAUGUUUUAUAUCAGGAUAUGAGAGUUUGGUCAUAUCGCACAGCCUUAGUAAGGAUGGAAAAGAAUGAUAAUACAUAAAUACAAUAGUACACAGAAUAAAUGCACUGCUCAAAAACCAAAGGGAAAACUUAAACAACACAAUGUAACUCCAAGUCAAUCACACUUCUUGAAAUCAAACUGUCCACUUAGGAAGCAACACUGAUUGACAAUCAAUGCCACACACUGUUGUGCACAUGGAUUAAACAACAGGUGGAAAUUAUUAGCAAGACAUCCCAAUAAAGGAGUGUUUCUGCAGGUGGUGACCACAGACCUUCUCUGUGCUGAUGCUUUCUGGCUCAUGUUUUGGUCACUUUUCAAUGCUGGCAGUGAUUUCACUCUAGUGAUAGAUUGAGACGAAGUCUACAAUCCACACAAGUGGCUCAGGUAGUGCAGCUCAUUCAGGAUCACAUCAAUGUGAGCUGUGGUAAGAAGGUUUGCUGUGUCUGUCAGUGUAGUGUCCAGAGCAUGGAGGCGCUACCAGGAGACAGGCCGCUACAUCAGAAGGUUGGAGGAGGGCAACAACCCAGCAGCAGGACCGCUACCUCCACCUUUGUGGAAGGAGGAUCAGGAGUAGCACUGCCAGAGUCUGCAAAAUGACCUCCAGCAGGCCACAAAUGUACACGUGUCUGCUCAAAUGGUUACAAACAGACUCCAUGAGGGUGGCAUGAGGGCCCGACGUCCACAGGUGGAGGUUGUGUUUACAGCCCAGCACCGUGCAGGACGUUUGGCAUUUGCCAGAGAACACCAAGAUGGCAACUUUGCCACUGGCAAUGAAAGCAGAAUCACACUGAGCACAUGUGACAGACGUGACAGAGUUUGGACACAGCGUGGAGAACCUUCUGCUGCCUCCAACACCCUCCAGCAUGAUGGUUUGACAGUGGGUCAGUAAUGGUGUGGGGUGGCAUUUCUUUGGAGGGCUGCACAGCCCUCCAUGUGUUCAUCAGAGGGAGCCUGAUUGCCAUUAGGUACUGAGAUGAGAUCCUCAGACCCCCCUUGUGAGAUCAUAUGUUGGUGCGGGUAGCUCUGGUUUCCUCCUAAUGCAAGACGAUGCUGAACCUCAUGUGGCUGCAGUGUGUCAGCAUUUCCUGCAGGACGAAGGCAUUGAUGCUGUGGACUGGUCCAGCUGUUCCCCAGACCUGAAUCAACCCAGCACAUCUGGGACAUGAUGUUUCGCUCCAUCCACCAACUGCACCACAGACUGUCCAGGAGUUGGCAGAUGCUUCAGUGCAGGUCUGAGAGGAGGUCCCUCAGGAGACCAUCCACCACCUCAUCAGGAGCAUGUCCAGGUGUUGUAGGUCAUACAGACACGUGGAGGCCACACACACUGCCGAGCUUCACUUUGACUUGUUGUAAGGACAUUACUGUAGUGUGUUUUUCCUCUUUGAGUGUGACUCCAAAUCCAGACCUCCAUGGGUUGCUACAUUUGAUUUCCACUCAUCAUUUUUGUGUGAUUUUGUUGUCACCACAUUCAACUAUGUAAAGUAUUUAAUAAGAAUAUUUCAUUCAUUCAGAUCUGGGAUUCUUAUUUUUGAGCAGUGUGCAACACAGACAGAGUCAACAGUGCAAGUGUUGGAAAUGAGAGGAGAGUGUUAUGUAGUCCAAGAAGUGUGUGGAGAGAGUCCAGUGUGGAGGAGGGCAGCAGGUGCUGCUCCUGUUGCUGCAGAGUCGUCUUCUGGACGGAAGGAGGAGUAAACAGUCUGUGGGAGGGUGAUGUGGGUCAGCCAUGAUGUUAGUGGCUUUCUGAAUGCAGGGUGAGGUGUAAAUAUCCUGCAGACGGGGCAGAGAGCUGCCAACAAUGCGCUCAGUGGUUCCCACAAUCCUCUGCAGGGCUCUGUGGUCGGACGUGUGACAGUUUCCAUAGAGACUGUGAUGCAGCUGGUUAGGAUGCUCUCUAUGGAGCCUCUGUAGAAGGUGUUAAGGAUGAGUUUGUGGAGGCGCACCUCCUUCAGUCGUCUCAGGAAGGAGUGUGUACUAGAUUACUCUUUAGGACAUUAGUCCUUAGCUGCACCAACGAGUCCUCAGCAACUGUUUAUUUAUUAAUGUCACAACUUAUUUUAUUACAACACUGGUAGAAUAAACAGUUUUUACUGAAUAAAGUUACACGUUUAAGAGUCAGUAAGUCACUUUAAAUAUUGUUUGUAUUUGAUAUUGAUUGAGCCUCAUCUUCAUCUUUGCUGCGGCCAUGAUUGUGACCCUUCUGUUAUAAUGUCAGCACAGCAUUCUUACCUGAACUGUCCUCACCUAAUCCUGUUGGACAUGGCAAAUAGAUUCAUGUAACUUACACUGCAUACAUAUUAAAAUGUUGUAAAUACAUGGUACCAAAUAUAUUAAUAGGACACUAUAUUAAGAACACAGGUUAAUGAAAUUAUUUAAACAUUAUAUUUUGAACAAUGUAAAUGUGUGAAAUGAAGAAUACAUUGAAAUGACAUAAAUAAUGUAACUUCAAAGAUGAAUUAUUGAUAUAGAAGAUUUAAUACUGAACUGGUUGCUUCAUGAAGGCUGAAUAUGAAAUAUUUGCUCUGUAGGACAUAACAUAGCAUCUAUAACACAUUCUAACACACAAACAUAUUCUAAUAUUAAACAAAGGAAUUCACUUUCACUCGUUCAUCAGUAAAGUCAGAGGCUGAGCUGGAGCUCGUGUCCCGUCACAGCCGUCACUCACACCAGAUGUGAGAGUAGUGCGUUUGUUCUGUGCAGCGUAACAAACUGGCUGAUUAAAGUCUAUAUUUACACUUUUUAUUUGAAUAUUUUAUUUAAUUUUAUCUGAGUAACAAUAGCAAAGUGAGCUGCUCUGAAAACAGGUGAGCGUGUCAGUGUUCACAGUAAUAUUCACAGGAAAUCUUAACACUUGUUAUACUUUUUAAGCCAUGAGGAGGUUUUUUAAACUCAGACUCUCCUCUAAGCUGCACUCUGACAACAGUCCAGCUCCAUCAAUGAUCCCAUUGUAGUUCUUAUUUGUUACAUGAUGUUUAUAGUGAGUGGACUUCUUUGCAUGCUGCUCAGUGUCUUUGUCCCUGUGAUGGGGUGUUGUUGUCACCCUGCUGGGUCCAUAGGAGCCUCUACCAGGAGGCUGAGGGGCAGCGUUGGAGGUCAUCAGUGUUUUUAUCCUCAAGUUACCAGAAAGGCUCAACUUGACUCUUUGUUGCAUUAUAGAGACAGAAGUUUAAAUAGUGUUUAACAGGACAAUCAAAGCUAAAAUGCUUUAAAAGAUGAACUCAUUAAAAAACACUAACAAAUCUUCAUGAUUCAAAUACUGAGAAGCUUCAACAACAAAUAUGUGUUCAAGCCAACAUGAUGUUUGCUCCUGUAACUGAUUGUUUUUCCAUCUUGUUCUCUAAAUAUUUUACCAAAGGGCUCCAUAACUAAUGUCAUUCAUUUUGUUUCUUAUCAUUGAAACUGUUGUAGAAAAUCCACUUUGUUAAGAAAACAGAGAAACGACCGUCUUUAUAUGAGACUUCAGAAAAAUGUUGUACAAGACAAACUGAACAACAUCAGAGCGACAUCAUGACUUCCUGUAACUUUUCUCUAUCCAGCUAAACAUGAGUACCUUCCAUUUUCUCCUGCAGAGGAUUCUGGGAAAAGUCCAUCGUGCACUGACGUCCUCUGUGUGUGUUUUAUUGUGCAGAUGCAGCUGCAGUCUGCUCAGCAGUGAGAACUGAAGACGUCAGUCAAAGAGAAGGAAAAACAGUCAGAGCUGAGAGGUACAGCUGCUCUUCUUUCAGUACAAACACCAUAAAUCUGUUGCUCACAAUCAAACUUUUCCUUUAUUUUUAAGUUUGUGUCACUUUUCAAACCAUGGUUACGAGUGCUUCCCAGAGACGAUGAGUGAAAGAGCAGAGAGUAAAUUAUGAAUCAAACUACGGCCACACAGACUCAAGUGUCAUGUAGUGAAUAACUUCCAACAGCUGGAUGAAUAAGAUGAGUUAAAGUUUAUAUAUUAGUCUUUAACAAUGAUUUAAAAGAAGACACUGAUGAGGCGAGCCAGAUUUCUUCAGGCAGGUCAUCCCAGGAUCGAGGAGUCCUCACAGCAAACAUUCAGUCGUCUUUAAGUGUGAGCUGGGAACAGUGAACAGAGUUUCUACCAGAGCCAAAUGUCAUCGACUCCUCACUGAACUCGUCCACCAGUCCAACCACUGGGAUCCAGCUGCUGCUCUCUAACUGGUCCACACAGCAGCUCAGACCUGACACAUUCACUGUAAACACACUGGUUUAUAUUCUGUUUGUUCUCCUCAUGAAGGAAACCUCACACAACCACUGAGGCCAGAAAGUUCAAAUGGAGAAUUAUUAUUAUUUUCUUUUAGAAAGGAGCUGGGAAAAUUUAACUUUCUUAAACUUUUUAUAUUAAAAAAUAACAUUUUCUACACCAGGCCUUUCAGAAUAAAAGCAUGACCAAGACAUGAUUUAUACAUAAACAGUAAUAAAUGUCUAAAAUGUAGAUGUAAUCCAUGUUUUCAUGUCUUCAGUAACUUUGCUGUUAUUUAUGUUAUUUCUAAGUGUGCUGUCGUCUCCACAGCAGUGAUCUGGUUUCUCUGCAGGUUCAAUAAACUUUGGUCUCACUUGA
Long non-coding RNA from Oreochromis niloticus (Nile tilapia), 4881 nucleotides. RefSeq lists it as uncharacterized. The record is from RefSeq and is a predicted model, not a curated record. The transcript has 2 exons. Lineage: Eukaryota; Metazoa; Chordata; Actinopteri; Cichliformes; Cichlidae.